Long non-coding RNA from Acanthopagrus latus (yellowfin seabream), 1409 nucleotides. RefSeq lists it as uncharacterized. The transcript is spliced from 10 exons. The record is from RefSeq and is a predicted model, not a curated record. Lineage: Eukaryota; Metazoa; Chordata; Actinopteri; Spariformes; Sparidae.
ACUGGAAGUGAAAAAGCAGGAGAAGCUCCAGACAUCGGAGCGUCCACUGAGCGGCGCCGCAGCCCGCAACUUGCACGGCGCAGCCAGCCAAGCGGGCGGGCAGGGAGGCAGGGAGGAAGGCGGGCGGGCAGCCGGUGCUUCCUCCCCUGCUCCACGCUGCAGGCCAACCCGCUCUCUCACACUCCGUGUUGGGUUACAGUGACAAGGGCCCCAGUCUGAACCACGACUUUUUUAGAAAGAUAAUAUUACAGCUGCAGAAUCGACCACAUUAUUCUGACAUUGCUCUGCCAUAUGCUGGAGGACCGCAACCGAUUUGAGCCGCAGCAACAGAAGGGCCCACAGCUGAUCCAUCUCCCCGUGCACAAUUGAGACAGAGGAGGUUAAAGCACUCUGAACGCAUGGGACCAUAUUGCAGGUAUUUGUGCCUGUGGCAGGGUCUCAGGCUUUUAUUCCCUACCUGCUCCCCCCCUCUGCACCCCAUGAUGACCCGCAUGCACCCGAGCCUCAGACAGCGCCUCCCAGCACUCCUCCAUGUUCUCCUCCAUCUGCCUCCUGUCCAUUGAUCAGCCUUCCAGGGCAUCAGUCUGUUUAACAUCUGCUACAAGUUCCAGCAGCUCAGAAAGCACGAGGCAGAGAGAGAGGCACGGGCCGAGAAGUGCUCGCAUCUUCAAAAAUCCUCUUCUUCACAGGCUUCCAGAGCUCGGAGGAACCGCAGUUGCACAGUUUAAUUUGCUCUUUUGUAAUGACGGGGCGUAGAUGCGCAGAGGCUGUAAUGAAGAGCUCUUGAACUCGCAGUCAGGGAAGCAGUGACAGGAGUUCAGAAGGGAUGCCUCUUUGGCUCUGCUGGACGAACACAGGUCCUUCUAUAAACACACACCUUGUAAGAGAGCAGCAUUAUGGCCACGGUUGGGUCUAUGUUGGCAAAGUAAGGAAGUAUGAGAGGAUACUGCUGUUUUUGGAGUCUCAGUUCUCAGCGUUGAAUGCAGCAUGAAUAACGGUGCUCCUUUCUCAAUCGCUUCAAAGGCCAAACCUCUACAGCCCAGAGAGCAGAGUUAAAUAAAGCCCCAGCGUUUCCUCUGAAGGACUUCCCACUGAAACGCACUGAAAGCCUCACGCGUGGAUUAUUUCCACCUUAUUUGCUGCUGGAUUCCAAAAACCUCUCGUUCACUAGCAACACCAAUUCUUUUAUACCGACUGUCUCGUUUGACUGUUUGUUUUACACCCAGGGAACUGUGUGGUUUGGUUUUGUUGUUGUUGUUGUUGUUGUUGUUUUGUUUUUUUCAGGAAUAAAAUGAACAUAAAUGAAUUUUUUUUUAAAUUAUGUUAAAAUGUAUCAUUUCCCCUGUUCAUCAGUAAAAAAUGUGACCUUCUAACAAAAAUGGAUCAUCCCUGUUGUGGCGUUGUUGUGA